Molecule: ribosomal RNA, 414 nt
Filed under: uncultured bacterium
Lineage: Bacteria
Description: bacterial SSU rRNA
Rfam family: Bacterial small subunit ribosomal RNA
Source: RNAcentral
UGGGGAAUAUUGCACAAUGGGCGAAAGCCUGAUGCAGCGACGCCGCGUGAGUGAAGAAGUAUUUCGGUAUGUAAAGCUCUAUCAGCAGGGAAGAAAAUGACGGUACCUGACUAAGAAGCCCCGGCUAACUACGUGCCAGCAGCCGCGGUAAUACGUAGGGGGCAAGCGUUAUCCGGAUUACUGGGUGUAAAGGGAGCGUAGACGGUAAAGCAAGUCUGAAGUGAAAGCCCGCGGCUCAACUGCGGGACUGCUUUGGAAACUGUUUAACUGGAGUGUCGGAGAGGUAAGUGGAAUUCCUAGUGUAGCGGUGAAAUGCGUAGAUAUUAGGAGGAACACCAGUGGCGAAGGCGACUUACUGGACGAUAACUGACGUUGAGGCUCGAAAGCGUGGGGAGCAAACAGGAUUAGAUACCC